GCCGUCCGUGGGCCGGUGGUAGAGGUCGGGCAGGUCGAAGACGUGCCCGGUCUCGUGGGCCAGCACGUUCCGGUCCGGCGGGUGGCGC
Molecule: transfer RNA, 88 nt
Filed under: Streptomyces nojiriensis
Lineage: Bacteria; Bacillati; Actinomycetota; Actinomycetes; Kitasatosporales; Streptomycetaceae
Description: tRNA-Phe
Source: RNAcentral